UGGGGAAUAUUGGACAAUGGGGGCAACCCUGAUCCAGCGAUGCCGCGUGUGUGAAGAAGGCCUGCGGGUUGUAAAGCAUUUUCGGUGGGGAGGAGGACUACCAGGUUAAGAGCCAGGUAGUUGGACGUUACCCACAUAAGAAGCACCGGCUAACUCCGUGCCAGCAGCCGCGGUAAUACGGAGGGUGCGAGCGUUAAUCGGAAUUACUGGGCGUAAAGAGUGCGUAGGCGGUUUAUUAAGUUAAGUGUGAAAGUCCUGGGCUUAACCUGGGGUAGUCAUUUAAAACUGGUAGACUGGAGUAUGGGAGAGGGUGGUGGAAUUUCCGGUGUAGCGGUGAAAUGCGUAGAGAUCGGAAGGAACAUCAGUGGCGAAGGCGGCCACCUGGCCUAAUACUGACGCUGAGGUACGAAAGCGUGGGGAGCAAACAGG
Molecule: ribosomal RNA, 429 nt
Filed under: uncultured bacterium
Lineage: Bacteria
Description: bacterial SSU rRNA
Rfam family: Bacterial small subunit ribosomal RNA
Source: RNAcentral